Long non-coding RNA from Dreissena polymorpha, 548 nucleotides. RefSeq lists it as uncharacterized. NCBI's taxonomy places the organism in Eukaryota, Metazoa, Mollusca, Bivalvia, Myida, Dreissenidae. The record is from RefSeq and is a predicted model, not a curated record. The transcript is spliced from 3 exons.
AACAGCAUCUUAUUGAUAUUUUUAUCAUGAGUGGAGGUGGUGGUGGUGGCGGUGGCGGUGGUGGUGGUGGGGGAGGUGGUGGGGGAGGCGGUGGUGGCGGCUGGCGUUACCGCGUACAGGAAGAAGACAUUGAAUUCGCAGUUACCUAUUACAUGGUACCCGGGGCGGAAAUAGACUACGAUGAGACCACUUCUGGUGUCCUGGGGGUUACUUCCGGUCCAGUCGAGGAUUCGACACUUACUCGAUCUCCGAAUUAAAUGGAGUGGCGAAGUAAGAUACAUAGCAACACGAUAUAUGGAUUGGUUGCAGUCCCAUACUAUUGGUCGUAUUACCUCCUCCAUUAUAAUUCCUUAUAAAACGACAAAAACACAGGGAAGAUACUACGAAUAUGGACAUUGUCUUAGAAUUAUCUAUCCUUAUAUGCAUCUCAAUUGUUACCGAACCAUGUUAAAUAAGUUCGUUUUAUUUAAUUUGCAUGUUUUAUUGUAACAUGAAGCUAGUUUAAAUAUGUAACAAUCCUUUAAAUAAAAUCAGCAUCUUCUCAAAUA